GCAUUCCUGUCGUUCCGGCGAGUGAAGCGGGAAUAGCUCAAAUUUGAAAUCUUCAAGGUUUGACCUUGACGAAUUCGUAGUUUAUAGAAGUGUUUUCUGUUGGAGUUUUGGUAAAAGUUCUUUGGAAUAGGACAUCAUAGAGGGUGAGAAUCCCGUAUUUGACCAUGACUUUCCAGCUGUGUGAUACACUUUCAAAGAGUCGGAUUGUUUGGGAAUGCAGUCCAAAAUGGGUGGUAAAUUUCAUCUAAAGCUAAAUAUUGGCGAGAGACCGAUAGCGAACAAGUACCGUGAGGGAAAGAUGAAAAGAACUUUGAAAAGAGAGUUAAACAGUACGUGAAAUUGUCAAAAGGGAAGCGUUUGACACCAGUGUUGUUUUCUCGAAAAUCAAUUUAAUGAGUUCUUGUUUUUAAGUUAUUGUGACUUUAUCAGCGCAUUUCUUAUUUUACUUGACUCAUUGAAUGCACUUUUCGUUUAACAAGUCAACAUCAAUUUCUUUGGUGGUAAAAAGUUUAAAGGAAGGUGGCUUGGACUUCGGUUCAAGUGUUUAUAGCCUUUUUUCUAUGCCAUCGGAGAGAUUGAGGUCUGCAGCGUAGAUCCUUCGGGGUUAGAUACCUUUGUGCUAAGUUAUAGUUUUUUAUAGACAACUUGUUGACUAUAAUUAACCCUGUAAUUUACUCGCUUAAGCUAUUUUACCUACGCUUAGGAUGUUGACAAAAUGGUUUUAAACGACCCGUCU
Molecule: ribosomal RNA, 736 nt
Filed under: Neocallimastigaceae sp.
Lineage: Eukaryota; Fungi; Neocallimastigomycota; Neocallimastigomycetes; Neocallimastigales; Neocallimastigaceae
Description: partial large subunit ribosomal RNA
Rfam family: Eukaryotic large subunit ribosomal RNA
Source: RNAcentral